GUGAAUGUUAAAAAUUACGGUGCUGGUUGAGUAGGCCGAGUAGAAUUUGUGUUAGGGCACAUCCCAUGGAGAUCUUUUUUACUGCUUAAUUUUUUGGAGUUACCUCAGUAACUUAACAGGCAGGAAUAUGGUUUUAAUGGAAAGGAAACCAUUUGCCUUUAACAGCAUUAGUCCCGCUAAGAGAAAGUUUUUGCUUGUCUAGUUUAUUACAGGUCUUUGACUUUGUCAGUAUAUGGCAAAUUUAGUAUAAAAGAUGAUUAAUUAUCAAGGCUGAUGAAAUAUAGGCAGCUGAAAAGAAAAUUCUUAGCAAUUCAUACCUUAGAAGGAACCCUGAAGGACAGGACGCCAUAGAAAUCCUGUUUUUUUAAAAAAGUAAUUUCAAGUAAGUUUGCAAAUGCAAUGCUAGUAAAAAGUAUAUAGAGGUAUGUCUUUCACACUAUCUUGUUACUAUUAGAAUUUUUGUAGCCAUGUGCAGAGGAGAGAAAAGGUGUUGGAUUUUCUGCAGUUCUGAUUCAGUUCUAAGAAUUUGGUGUGAAAAGAAUGUUUGCAAAGGAGCAGGCACAAAGGUGAGAACAGGAAUACGAAACACAACAUCUGUAAAUGACUAAAUUCAGAGGGAAUUUAGUGGGGCAUAUCUCUUAAAUGGUUUUGAAUAAUUUGGUGUUUUAACCAAUGACUUAAUUUAACUUAGUGGGUAUACUGUUCCCAGUCCCAUUACUGAUUUUUAUUCCUCUGUGAUAACAUACACCCAAAUAAAGACUGCUAUGUAUUUGACUUUAAAACUAUAAAGAUGUAAAAAAGGUUCACUAAGCCAAACACCUUAGAAAAUAGCCUCAGCUAUUUGCUAUGUUUAUAUUAUA
This 860-nucleotide long non-coding RNA is filed under the name Homo sapiens (human). RNAcentral's name for it is "long non-coding RNA NONHSAT232802". The record is from RNAcentral. Lineage: Eukaryota; Metazoa; Chordata; Mammalia; Primates; Hominidae.